GUGAUUCAUUGAUCAAUGCAUAGAUAUUAAAUAGUAGCAUCCUAAAUAACUUUAUAUAAAAAAAACUGAAUUUAAUGCCAAAAUUGAUAUUGAUUUUACAGGAUGUGGCUGACCUUUAUUAAUCGGAUCACUUACUGUAGCUAAUGAACCUCUAGAUAGAUAAUUAGAAUUUGUCUGUUUCUUUUUCUGUCUGUCUGUCUGUCUGUCUGUCUGUCUGUCUAUCUAUCUAUCUAUCUAUCUAUCUAUCUAUCUAUCUAUCUAUCUAUCUAUCUAUCUAUCUAUCUAUCUGCCUGCCUGCCUGCCGCCUGCCUGCCUGCCUGCCUGCCUGCCUGCCUGUCUAGCAUCUAUAUUUAAUGUAUUAUAUUUUGAUAAAAACUGUCAAACAGUUUCUGAACCUUUCAGGUUAUUAAGGGUCUCGGAAAAAUAAUUUACUGACUCUCCAUUACUUCAACAUGUAACAAUUCACUAAAAACUCAAGCACGUUUUCCUUUGGAGAGCAACUUGUGUGUACAGCAGAUUGUAGACAAGGGCGCUGGAACAGAUGUUCAUGAAAAGCCGAUUGUAUUCCUUCUGAUGGUUGGACGGCUGAAGUGGAGGUAGGCAGUGGAACAGAUGAAAGAGAAGCAGGAGAAUAAGAGUGUAUAACUCGCUCUCAUUGCCUGCAGUGAGGCAGAGGCUGGAGAGACAUGCAGAUGGGCGCAUCCUCAGGUAAUCCACCCGUUUAUGAGGAGAUUGAUGGAUCUGAGGCAAACGCAACUGACGCAAAGCUCACAUCUAUCUUGGUUUAAGGAUGUGGUCCGCCGAAAGGCUGGGAGGAGGAAUUACACGCAAAAGCACUAUGGCCCCUCAUAAAUCACUGCCACCCAGAGAAAGUGUCACAUUCCAGCGCUUGGUGGGAAUUGGGAAGAGGAAACAGGAAGGAGAGCCGAUGACAACAUCUGGUUGUGAUUUCAGAGAUGCGGGCAUGCUUGGGACUUUUCCAGACCAAAGUAAUCAUAUUUUUGUCAGCACGGCUAUCUCUUACCUGCUGCAGAGUGUGAAUGAAUAAUUGAAAUCCUGACCUUGCAGCAGAAGCUGUCACAAAGGUGUCCAGCGGUCGGCCCUGUAGUGAGGGCUUGCUGCGGGUGGCAUGUGUGUGUGGGUGUAACCGGCUUGCUACCAUGACAACAGAGGCCCAGGAGACCCUGCCCAUGCCACAGCGUGAUUGGCCGGUUUAUGAAGUGGCAUCUGCCGUCCAGGGGGCCAUAUGGACGAACUGACAUUUAGCGACACUCUCCGUGCUAUACAAGGCCGUGUGGCUGAGAGAAAGAGAGGACUUGCGCUGUAACCUUUACACACACGGUCACACACAAGCAAGCCGUAGUCCUAAAGCCCUGCUGUGACCCGCACAGGCCCAUGCUGGUGCUAUGACACAUGUGCUUCAAACAGAAGAACAGGCAUUAGAUCAGAAAGGCAAGCCGCAUGUAUUAAAGAAUCGGCCCCUCACAGAUUUUCUAACACACAUCACUGAGGACGCAGGGAAAAUCUCUGCAGAUGGGAGCCUCUCUUUCACCCUGGUGUGAGCUCAGCUGUGUGUCGCGCUGACAUCACCCUGUCCCACACGAACUGAUGUCAGAUUCCAUGCUGAAGUUUCCUCAUCUCUCUGGGACGGCAGUCGAGCCG
Molecule: long non-coding RNA, 1662 nt
Organism: Cyprinus carpio (common carp)
Lineage: Eukaryota; Metazoa; Chordata; Actinopteri; Cypriniformes; Cyprinidae
Source: Ensembl